RNAcentral lists this non-coding RNA (27 nucleotides) under Cricetulus griseus (Chinese hamster). Lineage: Eukaryota; Metazoa; Chordata; Mammalia; Rodentia; Cricetidae. The record is from RNAcentral.
UAAAAGAUGGACUGGAGCUUUUUCUUU